GAUGAACGCUGGCGGCGUGCUUAACACAUGCAAGUCGAACGAUGAAGCCCAGCUUGCUGGGUGGAUUAGUGGCGAACGGGUGAGUAACACGUGAGUAACCUGCCCUUGACUCUGGGAUGAGCCUGGGAAACUGGGUCUAAUACUGGAUAUGACUUCUCAUCGCAUGGUGGGGGGUGGAAAGAUUUAUUGGUCUUGGAUGGACUCGCGGCCUAUCAGCUUGUUGGUGAGGUAAUGGCUCACCAAGGCGACGACGGGUAGCCGGCCUGAGAGGGUGACCGGCCACACUGGGACUGAGACACGGCCCAGACUCCUACGGGAGGCAGCAGUGGGGAAUAUUGCACAAUGGGCGCAAGCCUGAUGCAGCGACGCCGCGUGAGGGAUGACGGCCUUCGGGUUGUAAACCUCUUUCAGUAGGGAAGAAGCGAGAGUGACGGUACCUGCAGAAGAAGCGCCGGCUAACUACGUG
RNAcentral lists this ribosomal RNA (466 nucleotides) under uncultured bacterium. Its description in RNAcentral is "partial 16S ribosomal RNA". It matches the Rfam family "Bacterial small subunit ribosomal RNA", at positions 28 to 507 of the family's 1533-position model. The record is from RNAcentral.